RNAcentral lists this ribosomal RNA (429 nucleotides) under Pseudomonadota bacterium. RNAcentral's name for it is "Proteobacteria bacterium partial 16S ribosomal RNA". It matches the Rfam family "Bacterial small subunit ribosomal RNA", at positions 355 to 776 of the family's 1533-position model. Lineage: Bacteria; Pseudomonadati; Pseudomonadota. The record is from RNAcentral.
UGGGGAAUAUUGGACAAUGGGCGAAAGCCUGAUCCAGCCAUGCCGCGUGUGUGAAGAAGGUCUUCGGAUUGUAAAGCACUUUAAGUUGGGAGGAAGGGCAGUAAGCGAAUACCUUGCUGUGUUGACGUUACCGACAGAAUAAGCACCGGCUAACUCUGUGCCAGCAGCCGCGGUAAUACAGAGGGUGCAAGCGUUAAUCGGAAUUACUGGGCGUAAAGCGCGCGUAGGUGGUUCGUUAAGUUGAAUGUGAAAGCCCCGGGCUCAACCUGGGAACUGCAUCCAAAACUGGCGAGCUAGAGGAGGGCAGAGGGUGGUGGAAUUUCCUGUGUAGCGGUGAAAUGCGUAGAUAUAGGAAGGAACACCAGUGGCGAAGGCGACCACCUGGGCUCAUACUGACACUGAGGUGCGAAAGCGUGGGGAGCAAACAGG